AAAAUCUUAGUUUAUUUUUUUAGAAUAUAGAAUUGUAAAUUCUAUGGAUUUGAUU
RNAcentral lists this transfer RNA (55 nucleotides) under Setaria labiatopapillosa. RNAcentral's name for it is "tRNA-Tyr". Lineage: Eukaryota; Metazoa; Nematoda; Chromadorea; Rhabditida; Setariidae. The record is from RNAcentral.